UACUCUCUUUAUUUCACUCGUAUAUCUUGUGGAUUACUUGCUCUUCUUGUUGUUGGCACUGUUUGUGCCCUCGUUGAAUGUGUAUGUUUAGAGUUUAAAGUCCUAGGUAAAUUCUUGUACACAUUCCUGUUGUGGAGCCUUGGGCGGGCAGGGGAGGUGCUGUCCGUUCGGCGGUCUGUCGCCGCGGCCGAACCGUGCCAAAUUGGUAGUGGUUUCGGGGCGGGGCGUGACAGUCUUUUGUGGUAUCAGAGCAAUAAGAGCAAGUAAAGAGAGUUUAGGAUGACCUAGGAGACCCUAGGUUGGUAAACCUUAAGGUUAUAGGUGCGUGAGCGGAACGUGAACCUAUAGCGAUGGCGGAAGUUAAUUCGAUUGGGUCGAAGUUGGUAUAGGUCUCUAGUUGUGAUUAGAGACGGAUUCGAGUUGUAUGAGUUCUUAACUUGAGGUGGUUGUGUCGGCGGCCGACGACAUGAUACCAAGAGCCUAGGACGAGUACGCUUGUGUGCUUCCGCCCGAUUUUGUUGCUGAGUCGUCGUGUGUCGUGAUUCCGACGAGGAAGUUGGUUAAAGUGAUUAACCAAGUGGUUGCGUUUCAGGAGCUAUGGCACCGAAGAGACGCCCAAGUACGAGAUCCACUCCGGCACCGCCACCCGAGGUGCCCGAGCAGACGGAGCCGAGCAUGAUGGAUCGGCUGCAGGCACAAGUGACCGCGUUGAC
RNAcentral lists this long non-coding RNA (713 nucleotides) under Ananas comosus (pineapple). Its description in RNAcentral is "long non-coding RNA (ACOM_LNC043013)". The record is from RNAcentral. Lineage: Eukaryota; Viridiplantae; Streptophyta; Magnoliopsida; Poales; Bromeliaceae.